AUACUUACCUGGCAGGAAAGAUACCAUGAUCACAAAAGUGGUUUUCCCAGUGGCUUAUCCAUUUACGCUCUGGAUGUGCUGACCCCUGUGAUUUCCCCAAAUGUGGGAAAUUUUCCUGUAUUAUUGUGGUAGUGGGGAGUGUAUUCACACUCUCUCCUG
RNAcentral lists this small nuclear RNA (159 nucleotides) under Sorex araneus (European shrew). RNAcentral describes it as "U1 spliceosomal RNA (ENSSARG00000014969.1)". It matches the Rfam family "U1 spliceosomal RNA". From Rfam's summary of the family: U1 is a small nuclear RNA (snRNA) component of the spliceosome (involved in pre-mRNA splicing). Its 5' end forms complementary base pairs with the 5' splice junction, thus defining the 5' donor site of an intron. Lineage: Eukaryota; Metazoa; Chordata; Mammalia; Eulipotyphla; Soricidae. The record is from RNAcentral.